Molecule: ribosomal RNA, 107 nt
Filed under: Salmonella enterica
Lineage: Bacteria; Pseudomonadati; Pseudomonadota; Gammaproteobacteria; Enterobacterales; Enterobacteriaceae
Also listed under: 2 other names
Description: partial 23S ribosomal RNA
Rfam family: Bacterial large subunit ribosomal RNA
Source: RNAcentral
CAAGUCUCCUGAAGGAACGUUGAAGACGACGACGUUGAUAGGCCGGGUGUGUAAGCGCAGCGAUGCGUUGAGCUAACCGGUACUAAUGAACCGUGAGGCUUAACCUU